CCUACGGGAGGCAGCAGUGAGGAAUAUUGGUCAAUGGGCUUACGCCUGAACCAGCCAAGUCGCGUGAGGGAAGACUGCCCUAUGGGUUGUAAACCUCUUUUGUCAGGGAGCAAUUGGCGCUACGUGUAGCGUUAUCGAGAGUACCUGAAGAAAAAGCAUCGGCUAACUCCGUGCCAGCAGCCGCGGUAAUACGGAGGAUGCGAGCGUUGUUCGGAAUCACUGGGCUUAAAGCGUGCGUAGUCUGUUUCGUAAGUCGUGUGUGAAAGUCGCGGGCUCAACCCGCGGAGGGCACAUGAUACUGCGAGACUAGAGUAAUGGAGGGGGAACCGGAAUUCGCGGUGUAGCAGUGAAAUGCUUAGAUAUCGAGAGGAACACUCGUGGCGAAGGCGGGUUACUGGACAUUAACUGACGCUGAGGCACGAAGGCCAGGGGAGCGAAAGGGAUUAGAUACCCGGGUAGUC
Molecule: ribosomal RNA, 461 nt
Filed under: uncultured bacterium
Lineage: Bacteria
Description: partial 16S ribosomal RNA
Rfam family: Bacterial small subunit ribosomal RNA
Source: RNAcentral